This 798-nucleotide long non-coding RNA is filed under the name Nicotiana tabacum (common tobacco). Its description in RNAcentral is "long non-coding RNA (NTAB_LNC013909)". Lineage: Eukaryota; Viridiplantae; Streptophyta; Magnoliopsida; Solanales; Solanaceae. The record is from RNAcentral.
GAGUCUAAGAAAUAAAAAAAGGGAAACGGCUGAGAUAUUCAUAGGUUGCAUAUAGAGAAUUCUCUUAGAUUUUCUCUUUUUGAAAGUUAAUUUUCAUGAUGGAUACACACAACUCAUAGAAGAAGGAUCAUAAGCUUCGUAGUAACAAGAUUCAAAGUUAUUUGGUUUUUUUCACUACUAUUUGAUUAUUUCCCGGGGAUUUUCUUGCAAGUUUUAAGCUGUGGGACUGCUAUUGAUUUGAUUAGAGUUUGCUGCUAUUAUUUGCUGAUUCCAGAAGAUUCUCUUUUUCUCAUUUUUUUUCGUUUGCUGCAACCAGGUACUCCUUUGAAUCCUGAAUGACAAAUGGAGCUUGAAUGUGUUUUGUGUGGAAGAUGUGUUUCUGCUGAAAUCAAUGAAGAUUGUUCUUGUUUGGACUUUAGUUUUCAUAUUUCCUUCUAAGCCAUUCAGCUUUCUCUUCAUUUCUUCCUUUUUAUUUCUUUCUUAUAUGUGAAAAUCUGUUGUGAUGGUCACUGGUUAGUGAAGUUAUUUAGUGACAAAUGUCUUAGUAGCUCAUACUGUAGGUAUUAAAUCUGUGUAAAAGUCCCAGAUAAAGUCAUAGUAUAAUCAGCUCGUUUAUCUAUUAUUCAUUGAAAUGGGGUGUUGACUAAUGUGUUGGCUUUGAGUUUGCUUGUCAAGUUUGAGGGAUUAAUUCUGGAGUCCCAGUUUUAUGUACUUUUAAAGAAAACUCCAUGUGAUUGCUAAAAUAAUGUCUAGAUGGGUCAUCUUAGAAGUCAAACAUUGAUGUGGUAGUUGAACAGC